GAUGAACGCUGGCGGCGUGCCUAAUACAUGCAAGUCGAGCGAACGGACGAGAAGCUUGCUUCUCUGAUGUUAGCGGCGGACGGGUGAGUAACACGUGGAUAACCUACCUAUAAGACUGGGAUAACUUCGGGAAACCGGAGCUAAUACCGGAUAAUAUUUUGAACCGCAUGGUUCAAAAGUGAAAGACGGUCUUCUUGUCACUUAUAGAUGGAUCCGCGCUGCAUUAGCUAGUUGGUAAGGUAACGGCUUACCAAGGCAACGAUGCAUAGCCGACCUGAGAGGGUGAUCGGCCACACUGGAACUGAGACACGGUCCAGACUCCUACGGGAGGCAGCAGUAGGGAAUCUUCCGCAAUGGGCGAAAGCCUGACGGGGCAACGCCGCGUGAGUGAUGAAGGUCUUCGGAUCGUAAAACUCUGUUAUUAGGGAAGAACAUAUGUGUAAGUAACUGUGCACAUCUUGACGGUACCUAAUCAGAAAGCCACGGCUAACUACGUG
This 497-nucleotide ribosomal RNA is filed under the name uncultured bacterium. Its description in RNAcentral is "partial 16S ribosomal RNA". It matches the Rfam family "Bacterial small subunit ribosomal RNA", at positions 28 to 507 of the family's 1533-position model. The record is from RNAcentral.